Molecule: long non-coding RNA, 619 nt
Filed under: Homo sapiens (human)
Lineage: Eukaryota; Metazoa; Chordata; Mammalia; Primates; Hominidae
Description: non-protein coding lnc-ASNS-1:10
Source: RNAcentral
UGGGGCGGGGAGGAGGUGCAGGGCCUGGCCAGAGCGGGCCUGGCCACGGGCAAGGGACAGCGACCCCCGGGCCAGGACAGGUGAGAGCGGCGCAGGCCCGGGCCCGGCGUGGCGGAGGUGCGCGUGAGCGGCCAGCAGAGGGCGCCAGAGAGCCAGGAGCGGCCCGCAGAGGAGCCCGCGCCGGCCCCGGUGCCCACCUCCGCGCCGCGCGGACCCUCCGAGCCCGCGCUCAGACGCCCCAGCUCCGCCGAGAGGCCGCUUGCGCCGGGUCCUUCUUCCCCAAAUGCAGGCAGAGCCCCCGGAGCCAUGGCCAGCCCUUCCGGCAGCUCCAAAGCCACUGGCAAGCCCCGAGGCAGGGAUGGCCGGCCCAGGAGGGAGGAGGACGACGUCCCUCCCGAAGAGAAGAGGCUGCGGCUCUUGCUGGAGGGGGGAAGCGCACAGCCCCAGGACUGCGAGGACGGGGAGGACGCGCCGCGGCCGGGCAGGGAGGAGACCGGCACCCAGACAGGUGGCGACGGCAGAGGAUGAUGUUUUGUUCUGGGGUGCAUCACAAGAGACAAGGUUCUUGGCCGGGCAUGGUGGCUCAAGCCAAUAAUCCCAGCACUUUGAGAGGCCGAAG